Long non-coding RNA from Bufo bufo (common toad), 122 nucleotides. RefSeq lists it as uncharacterized. The record is from RefSeq and is a predicted model, not a curated record. NCBI's taxonomy places the organism in Eukaryota, Metazoa, Chordata, Amphibia, Anura, Bufonidae. The transcript has 3 exons.
AUGUGAGAAUGAAUAAGCUUACACGGGCUAAGUAAAUAAACAUAAUUACUAAGUGUGAUUAGAUAUAAGGUAGAACAGACAAAUCACAUGCAGAGUAGGAAAAAAGAAAACUCUAUAACUGG